Polyodon spathula (Mississippi paddlefish) is the source of this 1638-nucleotide long non-coding RNA. RefSeq lists it as uncharacterized. The transcript is spliced from 5 exons. The record is from RefSeq and is a predicted model, not a curated record. Lineage: Eukaryota; Metazoa; Chordata; Actinopteri; Acipenseriformes; Polyodontidae.
CUUACUCAUUUGGACAUCUGUUAGUACAUCACAGAACACGUCAGUUAAGGUGGUUCUGUGUGUGGGAACAGCUAGCUGUUUAGCCUCAGUGAAGUGAAACUGGGUGAUGUGUAUACUAUUGUCUCCUCCCUCCCCCUUUUUAUGUAGGUUUGAAUUCUGAAGGGAAGAGAAGAUCCAGGAAAGUCGGUUUUCUGAAUUUCUGAUACCUGAAACAGAAAGCAGCAUGGUACAGUUUGACUGGAAAUGGUGUUGAGUGAAGUCACGACUACCACUUAUUUACCAAACCAUGCAGCCACUCCACUCCAGACAAACUGAACCUGCUAUUCAAGAGGAGCAGAGUCAGACACCUUUAAUACGUACGUCCAAAACAGGACGAGUAAGGAGCCAGGGACUGCAGCCACAGAGCCAGCCCACAUAAACAGAGCAUUACAACACCAGCACCCCCCUGCAGAUUGAAGAGCACACUUUCAUGCACGGGAAUGUGGAUUGGGGGUUAUUAAAUACUAUUAUUUGUUUUUGUUUUUGGUCUGCAAGCCAGCCGUGUUCCCCCAUCGAUACCUUUGCAGGUAGGGGGAUAGUUCUUUUUGUGUUCUGUCAAUAAACACAGACCUGCUAAUUGAGCAGUUCAUAAAGGUGCUGGGACCAGACGUGCAGAACUGGGUCAGCUGCCAUCGUCCCACCAGGCUGAAUGCAGCAGUCAGAUUGGCUGAAGGGUUUGAGGAUGCACCUCUUACCCCUCCAGUGGUUGCCAUUCCUGCUCCUGCCUCCAACAAGCCACAAUUGGCUGGACCACCACAGCGCUUCAUCCACACUACCCAUGGACCAACACUGCAACGUCACCACAUGGGCGGCCUCCCUCCAGCACAAUGGAGAUCAAGGGUGACCUGCAGUCGAGUAAGAGCAGAGCACCCCUUCCACCUGCAGUGGAACACGCAAGCUCUGUGGGUGCCCUUUCGCCCCACCUGUUACCAGUGACAGGAGGUCAGCCACCUUCGCCAGAAAUUGCCCGUCCACAAUGGAAUAUGACGUGACCGCCCAUUAUGUCCUGAUAGCACCAGACAGAUGGAUUGGUGGAACAUUCUAAUCAUACUUUAAAACAGAUGCCGAAGCGGUUUAUCAACCAAGAGCAGAAACAUUGGGUGAAACUCCUCCCCUACCUGAUGUUUGCUGUGAGAGAGGUGCCUCAGAGCGCGAUCGGGUUCUCUCCCUUUGAGCUGCUGUAUGGGGGACAACCAUGGGGUAUCCUCAAAAGAAGGCUGGGAGGAGCAAACAAAAACUUCUAAAAAUAUAGUCAAGUAUGUAAUUAUGUUAAGAGACCGUCUAGCAUUAGUUGGUCGUUUGGCACAGGAAAAUGUAAAACUCUCAGCAUCGCCAGGAGCAACAGUACAACUGUAACAGGGAGCAGGUUCGCUGGUUCCUGCACAAGUGUGUGUGUGUCUGUGAUUUAAAUCAGCUGCGACGUGCAGCCGGAGAUGCUGCACAGAGCUCAAAAAAACGUUGCGCAACAACUUCCCAGGUUUUGUUCAUAUAUGCAGCAUUGUCUGUAACAAAAGCAAUAAUUUCAUCAAAAGGAAUUUUGUAUUUCUGAACUGUUUCCACCACUGAUUGACUCACAGUUUUAAUGUUUACCAUCUCCAA